RNAcentral lists this ribosomal RNA (318 nucleotides) under uncultured bacterium. RNAcentral describes it as "bacterial SSU rRNA". It matches the Rfam family "Bacterial small subunit ribosomal RNA", at positions 774 to 1076 of the family's 1533-position model. The record is from RNAcentral.
AGGUAAUAGAUACCCUGGUAGUCCACGCCCUAAACCGAUGAGAACUGGAUGUCGGGAGGGUUUGCCUUCCGGUGUCGUAGCUAAACGCGUUAAAGUUCUCCGCCUGGGAAGUACGGCCGCAAGGUUGAAACUCAAACGGAAUUGACGGGGUACCCGGCACAAGCGGUGGAGCAUGUGGUUUAAACUUCGAUGCAACGCGAAGAACCUUACCUGGUCUUGACAUCCCGAGGAACCCGUGCAGAGAUGCGGGGGUUGCCUUCGGGUAACCCGUGGAGACAGGUGCUGCAUGGCUGUCGUCAGCUCGUGUCGUGAGAUGUU